Long non-coding RNA from Lycium barbarum (goji berry), 951 nucleotides. RefSeq lists it as uncharacterized. NCBI's taxonomy places the organism in Eukaryota, Viridiplantae, Streptophyta, Magnoliopsida, Solanales, Solanaceae. The transcript is spliced from 3 exons. The record is from RefSeq and is a predicted model, not a curated record.
ACAAUUCAUAAAAUUGGAAUUUAAAAUGUGGUGCCAAAAAUGCCAUGGGGGCCGUGUGAAUUAAAAAGGGGUCCCACACAUUGUGUGACCAAUUUUAAUUGGUCCAACACAUUGUGUGGACCCAAGGCAAUGUGGAUAUUUUGUGAACCACUUAAAAGAUGAAGACCAAGUCUUCAUUCCUCAUUUAUUCACUUCAUCACUUAGCACAAAACAAGAAAAUAGAGAGUUCCCAACCCCCACUGUUUUCGGCCCAACCUUAGGAAAACCAAAUCAAAUUCUAGCUUCCCAAAAAUUAUUUCCUUGGUGUUAACCCACUAUAUUGAGGUCCCUAAGUAGCGUGGAAGAGUUGUUCGGGUCAUCCAACCAUUAGUUGUACCCAUUUGCAAACCCUAACUAUUUGGUGGAUUGAAGAAGAAAGAUCGUGGGCAGCCCGAAUCAUAGUUUGGACUUAGCUUGAGUUGGAUCAUAUUGGAGAGCGUUUGAGGUACGGACGCACAGCCUGGUGAUCCACCUGUUUAGGACACCCUUUCUGCUAUUCGGAGUGCUCCUCUCUUUCCGGAGCUUAUACUUUUGGUAUAUAUAUUUUUAUUAGUGCAUUUGUAUAUAUUCGUUCAUGGGUACGGCGGGGCCCUGUCCUGUCAUAUGAUUUUGUCGGUCUGUUUAGAGGUCUGUGGACAUGUUUGUGGGUUAGGGUCUUUCUGUAUGGAUGUAUGUACAUGUCGUUUGGGCGAUCCCAUACGCCGAGGCGGCCGGUCCGCAUAUGUUGUUUGGGCGAUCCUAUACGCCGAGGCGGCCGGUACGCAUAUGUUUAUAUAUUGCUUGGUUAGCCCUGUGUGGCUUUUGUUGGUAUUUUCUGCGUGCAAGGUAUAUUGGAUAGUCCGUAAAACAAAGGAAACUCUGCCGAAAUUUUUCUGGAAAUUACCUAAAUUUGAAAGAAAGCCUUGUCGGCUU